GCUUAACACAUGCAAGUCGAACGAAGCACUCUAUUUGAUUUUCUUCGGAAAUGAAGAUUUUGUGACUGAGUGGCGGACGGGUGAGUAACGCGUGGGUAACCUGCCUCAUACAGGGGGAUAACAGUUGGAAACGACUGCUAAUACCGCAUAAGCGCACAGGAUCGCAUGAUCCGGUGUGAAAAACUCCGGUGGUAUGAGAUGGACCCGCGUCUGAUUAGCCAGUUGGCAGGGUAACGGCCUACCAAAGCGACGAUCAGUAGCCGACCUGAGAGGGUGACCGGCCACAUUGGGACUGAGACACGGCCCAAACUCCUACGGGAGGCAGCAGUGGGGAAUAUUGCACAAUGGGGGAAACCCUGAUGCAGCGACGCCGCGUGAGCGAAGAAGUAUUUCGGUAUGUAAAGCUCUAUCAGCAGGGAAGAAGAAUGACGGUACCUGACUAAGAAGCACCGGCUAAAUACGUGCCAGCAGCCGCGGUAAUACGUAUGGUGCAAGCGUUAUCCGGAUUUACUGGGUGUAAAGGGAGCGCAGGCGGUGCGGCAAGUCUGAUGUGAAAGCCCGGGGCUCAACCCCGGUACUGCAUUGGAAACUGUCGUACUAGAGUGUCGGAGGGGUAAGUGGAAUUCCUAGUGUAGCGGUGA
Molecule: ribosomal RNA, 641 nt
Filed under: uncultured Lachnospiraceae bacterium
Lineage: Bacteria; Bacillati; Bacillota; Clostridia; Lachnospirales; Lachnospiraceae
Description: bacterial SSU rRNA
Rfam family: Bacterial small subunit ribosomal RNA
Source: RNAcentral